GUAGGUGGCAAGCGUUGUCCGGAAUUAUUGGGGCGUAAAGCGCGCGCAGGUGGUUCUUUAAGUCUGAUGUGAAAGCCCCCCGGGCUCAACCGGGGGAGGGUCAUUGGAAACUGGGGAACUUGAGUGCAGGAGAGGAAAGUGGAAUUCCACGUGCAGCGGUGAAAUGCGUAGAUAUGUGGAGGAACACCAGUGGCGAAGGCGACUUUCUGGCCUGUAACUGACACUGAGGCGCGAAAGCGUGGGGAGCAAACAGGAUUAGAUACCCUGGUAGUCCACGCCGUAAACGAUGAGUGCUAAGUGUUGGGGGGUUUCCGCCCCUCAGUGCUGCAGCUAACGCAUUAAGCACUCCGCCUGGGGAGUACGGUCGCAAAGACUG
Molecule: ribosomal RNA, 376 nt
Filed under: uncultured organism
Description: partial 16S ribosomal RNA
Rfam family: Bacterial small subunit ribosomal RNA
Source: RNAcentral